RNAcentral lists this ribosomal RNA (208 nucleotides) under uncultured Bacteroidota bacterium. RNAcentral's name for it is "uncultured Bacteroidetes bacterium partial 16S ribosomal RNA". It matches the Rfam family "Bacterial small subunit ribosomal RNA", at positions 568 to 775 of the family's 1533-position model. Lineage: Bacteria; Pseudomonadati; Bacteroidota. The record is from RNAcentral.
UGCGCAGGUGGUUAAAUAAGUCAGUGGUGAAAGUCUGCCGCUUAACGGUAGGAUUGCCAUUGAUACUGUUUAACUUGAGUUUGGAUGAGGUAGGCGGAAUGAGUAGUGUAGCGGUGAAAUGCAUAGAUAUUACUCAGAACACCGAUUGCGAAGGCAGCUUACUAAUCCACAACUGACACUGAGGCACGAAAGCGUGGGGAUCAAACAG